Molecule: ribosomal RNA, 964 nt
Filed under: Escherichia coli
Lineage: Bacteria; Pseudomonadati; Pseudomonadota; Gammaproteobacteria; Enterobacterales; Enterobacteriaceae
Description: partial 23S ribosomal RNA
Rfam family: Bacterial large subunit ribosomal RNA
Source: RNAcentral
GGUUAAGCGACUAAGCGUACACGGUGGAUGCCCUGGCAGUCAGAGGCGAUGAAGGACGUGCUAAUCUGCGAUAAGCGUCGGUAAGGUGAUAUGAACCGUUAUAACUGGCGAUUUCCGAAUGGGGAAACCCAGUGUGUUUCGACACACUAUCAUUAACUGAAUCCAUAGGUUAAUGAGGCGAACCGGGGGAACUGAAACAUCUAAGUACCCCGAGGAAAAGAAAUCAACCGAGAUUCCCCCAGUAGCGGCGAGCGAACGGGGAGGAGCCCAGAGCCUGAAUCAGUGUGUGUGUUAGUGGAAGCGUCUGGAAAGGCGCGCGAUACAGGGUGACAGCCCCGUACACAAAAAUGCACAUGCUGUGAGCUCGAUGAGUAGGGCGGGACACGUGGUAUCCUGUCUGAAUAUGGGGGGACCAUCCUCCAAGGCUAAAUACUCCUGACUGACCGAUAGUGAACCAGUACCGUGAGGGAAAGGCGAAAAGAACCCCGGCGAGGGGAGUGAAAAAGAACCUGAAACCGUGUACGUACAAGCAGUGGGAGCACGCUUAGGCGUGUGACUGCGUACCUUUUGUAUAAUGGGUCAGCGACUUAUAUUCUGUAGCAAGGUUAACCGAAUAGGGGAGCCGAAGGGAAACCGAGUCUUAACUGGGCGUUAAGUUGCAGGGUAUAGACCCGAAACCCGGUGAUCUAGCCAUGGGCAGGUUGAAGGUUGGGUAACACUAACUGGAGGACCGAACCGACUAAUGUUGAAAAAUUAGCGGAUGACUUGUGGCUGGGGGUGAAAGGCCAAUCAAACCGGGAGAUAGCUGGUUCUCCCCGAAAGCUAUUUAGGUAGCGCCUCGUGAACUCAUCUCCGGGGGUAGAGCACUGUUUCGGCAAGGGGGUCAUCCCGACUUACCAACCCGAUGCAAACUGCGAAUACCGGAGAAUGUUAUCACGGGAGACACACGGCGGGUGCUAACGUC